RNAcentral lists this ribosomal RNA (444 nucleotides) under Triticum aestivum (bread wheat). RNAcentral describes it as "partial small subunit ribosomal RNA". Lineage: Eukaryota; Viridiplantae; Streptophyta; Magnoliopsida; Poales; Poaceae. The record is from RNAcentral.
AUGGACAUCCUCCAUGAAAGGUUCUAUCCCAACCGUGGAUCUCUCAAGUAUGCCAGAGUGAUCACGCGAAGCCUGCAGAGCUCACCGCCGGAUUUUGAUCCUGUGCUACUCGCAUCCCUUGAUAUUGCUCAGUCAAGGCGUCUGUCAUCGUUCCUUAAGUAUGCCGUCAGUGAGCUCAACAGUAUAAAUGGACAUUUAGGGCAGGCUGGGGUUGGUGCUGCCACUCGGUUCAGAGAAUUGCGUGCCCUCAAUGAAAAUGCAGAUGAUUUCCUGCAAAGAGUCGCACUCCAGUAUGGCCUGACCAGGGGUGUUCUUGCCGCUGGUUUAGCACAGCUUCAUCAGGCGAUUGCGGCCGCCACUGAUCUCAUCACCAGGUUCAACGAAGAGCCAACUGCUGUCCGUCAUCUUUUCACCGCGUUUACCUCGGCAGGCCCACUGGAGUAG